This 497-nucleotide ribosomal RNA is filed under the name uncultured bacterium. Its description in RNAcentral is "partial 16S ribosomal RNA". It matches the Rfam family "Bacterial small subunit ribosomal RNA", at positions 28 to 507 of the family's 1533-position model. The record is from RNAcentral.
GAUGAACGCUGGCGGCGUGCCUAAUAUAUGCAAGUCGAGCGAAAAGACGAGGCGCUUGCUCCUCUGACGUUCCCUGCGAACGGGUGCGUAACACGUGAACACCCUACAUAAUCCACUGGGACAACUUCGGGAAUCCUAGACUCUUACCGGGUAAUAUAAUCAACCGCAUGGUUUCAUAGUCAACGACGGUCUUGCUGAUACUGAUAGAUGGAUCCGGGCUGCAUUGGCUAGUUGUCAAGGUAACGGCUUAUCAAGGCGACGAUGCGUAGCCGACCUAAGAGAGUGAUCGACCACACUGGAACUGAUACACGGUCCAGACUCCUACGGGAGGCAGCAGUAGGGAAUCUUCCGCGAUGGGCGAAAGCCUGACGGAGCAACGCGACGUGAGUGAUGAAGGUCUUCGGAUCGGAAAACUCUGUUAUUAGUGAAGAACAAAUGUGUAAGGAACUAUGCACGUCUUGACGGUACCUAAACAGAAAGCCACGGCUAACUACGUG